GACAGAGGUCUCAAGCGUUGUUCGGAUUCAUUGGGCGUAAAGGGUGCGUAGGUGGCGGGGUAAGUCAGGUGUGAAAUCUCGGAGCUCAACUCCGAAACUGCACUUGAUACUGCCUUGCUUGAGUACUGGAGAGGAGAUUGGAAUUUACGGUGUAGCAGUGAAAUGCGUAGAUAUCGUAAGGAAGACCAGUGGCGAAGGCGAAUCUCUGGACAGUUACUGACACUGAGGCACGAAGGCCAGGGGAGCAAACGGG
Molecule: ribosomal RNA, 253 nt
Filed under: uncultured bacterium
Lineage: Bacteria
Description: partial 16S ribosomal RNA
Rfam family: Bacterial small subunit ribosomal RNA
Source: RNAcentral